CUGCUCUUGUUUUGUCACAUUUAACGUGAUGGUUUUUCGCCUUUUACUAAAGACCACCGUGGGGCAAAACAAUUAACGGGAGCUUUUAUACAAAUUUUUGUAUGGCCCAAACUUAUGUUUGGGCU
Molecule: non-coding RNA, 125 nt
Organism: Euroglyphus maynei
Lineage: Eukaryota; Metazoa; Arthropoda; Arachnida; Sarcoptiformes; Pyroglyphidae
Source: Rfam